Long non-coding RNA from Oncorhynchus gorbuscha (pink salmon), 622 nucleotides. RefSeq lists it as uncharacterized. The transcript has 2 exons. NCBI's taxonomy places the organism in Eukaryota, Metazoa, Chordata, Actinopteri, Salmoniformes, Salmonidae. The record is from RefSeq and is a predicted model, not a curated record.
UGAGUUCUAAAACACCCAGAAUCCUUGUUGGCACAUUUCACGUUUGUAGACCAGCACCACUACGGUCCGUUACAGCGCAUUAGAUUUCAUCGGGUCUGUUUUUUUAGUCCAACCUCCAGAACAGGCCUUUUGGGUUAUAUGACAAAACCUUUUCUAAUCGUUGUUGAAGCGUUUGGUUUUCACUGACCUGCUCUCUUUUGUGUCUGUUUCAGUGCCAGCGAUGCUGUGAAAGGAGAAGGUUUACCUGAAGGUGUUGAUUGGCUGCAAGAUCAAAUCAGAACGAUGAGAACCUGAGAGGUUGAGAGAACGAGGAGGGGGGAAAUGCCAUCGUCUGGGUGGCGUCAUGGCAACACUGGAGUCCCUCGGCCGUUGACCCCCCAAUGGUGUAAAUUCUCAACAUGACUCCUACCACCAUCCAACCAUACACACACACACGCCUCAGAAGAGUUGGAGCCAGCUAUGACCUCCGACCUUUAAAGAUCAACCAGUCUGGAUGGAGGACUAGCCUUUCCAACGGCCCCUGGAAAUAGAUAGUCUUUUCUUCAGAUCAUUCACACAUCUUCCCACCAGUUUCUCUGUUCACCCUCAUCUCAAAUGACCCAAUAAACCAGUUUUAAAUGGA